CCUACGGGUGGCUGCAGUGAGGAAUAUUGGUCAAUGGACGGAAGUCUGAACCAGCCAUGCCGCGUGCAGGAAGACGGCUCUAUGAGUUGUAAACUGCUUUUGUACAAGGGUAAACCUGAAUACGUGUAUUCAGCUGAAAGUACUGUACGAAUAAGGAUCGGCUAACUCCGUGCCAGCAGCCGCGGUAAUACGUAGGGGGCAAGCGUUGUCCGGAAUUACUGGGCGUAAAGGGAGUGUAGGCGGCCUUUUAAGUUAUAUGUGAAAGCCCCCGGCUUAACCGAGGAACUGCAUAUAAAACUGGAGGGCUGGAGUGCAGGAGAGGUAAGCGGAAUUUCUAGUGUAGCGGUGGAAUGCGUAGAUAUUAGGAAGAACACCGGAGGCGAAGGCGGCUUACUGGACUGUAACUGACGCUGAGGCUCGAAAGCGUGGGGAGCAAACAGGAUUAGAUACCCUUGUAGUC
RNAcentral lists this ribosomal RNA (460 nucleotides) under uncultured bacterium. RNAcentral's name for it is "partial 16S ribosomal RNA". It matches the Rfam family "Bacterial small subunit ribosomal RNA", at positions 338 to 795 of the family's 1533-position model. The record is from RNAcentral.